GUCCAGACUCCUACGGGAGGCAGCAGUGGGGGAUAUUGCACAAUGGAGGAAACUCUGAUGCAGCGACGCCGCGUGAGGGAAGACGGUCUUCGGAUUGUAAACCUCUGUCUUUGGGGAAGAAAAUGACGGUACCCACAGAGGAAGCAUCGGCUAACUCCGUGCCAGCAGCCGCGGUAAUACGGGGGAUGCAAGCGUUGUCCGGAAUCAUUGGGCGUAAAGAGUUCGUAGGUGGCACGUUAAGUCUGGUGUUAAAUGCAGAGGCUCAACCUCUGUUCGGCACUGGAUACUGGCGAGCUUGAAUGCGGUAGAGGUAAAGGGAAUUCCUGGUGUAGCGGUGAAAUGCGUAGAUAUCAGGAGGAACAUCGGUGGCGUAAGCGCUUUACUGGGCCGUAAUUGACACUGAGGAACGAAAGCCAGGGUAGCAAAUGGGAUUAGAUACCCCAGUA
This 446-nucleotide ribosomal RNA is filed under the name uncultured bacterium. RNAcentral's name for it is "bacterial SSU rRNA". It matches the Rfam family "Bacterial small subunit ribosomal RNA", at positions 329 to 792 of the family's 1533-position model. The record is from RNAcentral.